AGAUGUGAUGAUUUUAAUUUGUCGCCCCAGUCUUAUGCGUCGCCGGUAUCUCUUUGCCUCCGACCGAUGGUGAUUGACUUUUAUAUCUGAUCG
This 93-nucleotide small nucleolar RNA is filed under the name Zostera marina. RNAcentral's name for it is "Small nucleolar RNA U31b". It matches the Rfam family "Small nucleolar RNA U31b". Lineage: Eukaryota; Viridiplantae; Streptophyta; Magnoliopsida; Alismatales; Zosteraceae. The record is from Rfam by way of RNAcentral.